Molecule: ribosomal RNA, 420 nt
Filed under: Microcycas calocoma
Lineage: Eukaryota; Viridiplantae; Streptophyta; Cycadopsida; Cycadales; Zamiaceae
Description: eukaryotic LSU rRNA
Rfam family: 5.8S ribosomal RNA (bases 4-157)
Source: RNAcentral
UACGACUCUCGGCAACGGAUAUCUCGGCCCUGGCGACGAUGAAGAACGUAGCGAAAUGCGAUACUUAGUGUGAAUUGCAGAAUCCCGUGAAUCAUUGAAUCUUUGAACGCAAGUUGCGCCCGUGGCCUCUGCUAAGGGCACGCCUGCCUGGGCGUCGCAUUCAAUAGAAGCGCCCUCGCCCGCGAUGGAGCGAUGGAGCGGAGUUGGCCGUCCGCACCUUCCGCGGCCCGGUCGGCUAAAAGUUGGGACGGGACACCCGUCGUCUCGCAUCGGUGAGCGGUGGUUCGGCCACCGUGGCGUGUGCCGAUCUCGGGUUGGGCCGGUGCGAGUAACGGGCGUUGUCCCUGUGUGACCACUCUGUCCGUCCCGCGGCGUCGGCCUCUGGGCCGUCGUGCCGUCGGGGCGGUAUUUCGUGACCCC